RNAcentral lists this ribosomal RNA (1275 nucleotides) under Streptomyces evansiae. RNAcentral describes it as "Streptomyces sp. DSM 41979 partial 23S ribosomal RNA". It matches the Rfam family "Bacterial large subunit ribosomal RNA", at positions 1 to 1214 of the family's 2925-position model. Lineage: Bacteria; Bacillati; Actinomycetota; Actinomycetes; Kitasatosporales; Streptomycetaceae. The record is from RNAcentral.
GGCCAAGUUUUUAAGGGCGCACGGUGGAUGCCUUGGUACCAGGAACCGAUGAAGGACGUGGGAGGCCGCGAUAGGCCCCGGGGAGCUGUCAACCGAGCUUUGAUCCGGGGGUGUCCGAAUGGGGAAACCCGGCAGUCGUCAUGGGCUGUCACCCGCUGCUGAAUGUAUAGGCAGUGUGGAGGGAACGCGGGGAAGUGAAACAUCUCAGUACCCGCAGGAAGAGAAAACAACCGUGAUUCCGGGAGUAGUGGCGAGCGAAACCGGAUGAGGCCAAACCGUAUGUGUGUGAUACCCGGCAGGGGUUGCAUGUACGGGGUUGUGGGAUUGCGCUUCAGUCGUCUGCCGGCGGCUGGGUGAGUCAGAAACCAUCAUGAUAGGCGAAGGACAUGCGAAAGGUCCGGCGUAGAGGGUAAGACCCCCGUAGCUGAAAUCGUGGUGGCUCACUUGCGUUAUUCCCAAGUAGCACGGGGCCCGAGAAAUCCUGUGUGAAUCUGGCGGGACCACCCGCUAAGCCUAAAUAUUCCCUGGUGACCGAUAGCGGAUAGUACCGUGAGGGAAUGGUGAAAAGUACCGCGGGAGCGGAGUGAAAUAGUACCUGAAACCGUGUGCCUACAAGCCGUGGGAGCGUCGCGCAAGGACUUGUCCUUGCGUCGUGACUGCGUGCCUUUUGAAGAAUGAGCCUGCGAGUUUGCGGUGUGUUGCGAGGUUAACCCGUGUGGGGAAGCCGUAGCGAAAGCGAGUCCGAACAGGGCGCUGUAGUAGCACGCUCAAGACCCGAAGCGGAGUGAUCUAGCCAUGGGCAGGUUGAAGCGGCUGUAAGAGGUCGUGGAGGACCGAACCCACCAGGGUUGAAAACCUGGGGGAUGACCUGUGGUUAGGGGUGAAAGGCCAAUCAAACUCCGUGAUAGCUGGUUCUCCCCGAAAUGCAUUUAGGUGCAGCGUCGUGUGUUUCUUGCCGGAGGUAGAGCACUGGAUAGGCGAUGGGCCUUACCGGGUUACUGACCUUAGCCAAACUCCGAAUGCCGGUAAGUGAGAGCACGGCAGUGAGACUGUGGGGGAUAAGCUCCAUGGUCGAGAGGGAAACAGCCCAGAGCAUCGACUAAGGCCCCUAAGCGUACGCUAAGUGGGAAAGGAUGUGGAGUCGCAGAGACAACCAGGAGGUUGGCUUAGAAGCAGCCACCCUUGAAAGAGUGCGUAAUAGCUCACUGGUCUAGUGAUUCCGCGCCGACAAUGUAGCGGGGCUCAAGCGUACCGCCGAAGUCGUGUCAUUGCAGC